GCAGCCCAGAGCCUGAAUCAGUGUGUGUGUUAGUGGAAGCGUCUGGAAAGGCGCGCGAUACAGGGUGACAGCCCCGUACACAAAAAUGCACAUGCUGUGAGCUCGAUGAGUAGGGCGGGACACGUGGUAUCCUGUCUGAAUAUGGGGGGACCAUCCUCCAAGGCUAAAUACUCCUGACUGACCGAUAGUGAACCAGUACCGUGAGGGAAAGGCGAAAAGAACCCCGGCGAGGGGAGUGAAAAAGAACCUGAAACCGUGUACGUACAAGCAGUGGGAGCACGCUUAGGCGUGUGACUGCGUACCUUUUGUAUAAUGGGUCAGCGACUUAUAUUCUGUAGCAAGGUUAACCGAAUAGGGGAGCCGAAGGGAAACCGAGUCUUAACUGGGCGUUAAGUUGCAGGGUAUAGACCCGAAACCCGGUGAUCUAGCCAUGGGCAGGUUGAAGGUUGGGUAACACUAACUGGAGGACCGAACCGACUAAUGUUGAAAAAUUAGCGGAUGACUUGUGGCUGGGGGUGAAAGGCCAAUCAAACCGGGAGAUAGCUGGUUCUCCCCGAAAGCUAUUUAGGUAGCGCCUCGUGAAUUCAUCUCCGGGGGUAGAGCACUGUUUCGGCAAGGGGGUCAUCCCGACUUACCAACCCGAUGCAAACUGCGAAUACCGGAGAAUGUUAUCACGGGAGACACACGGCGGGUGCUAACGUCCGUCGUGAAGAGGGAAACAACCCAGACCGCCAGCUAAGGUCCCAAAGUCAUGGUUAAGUGGGAAACGAUGUGGGAAGGCCCAGACAGCCAGGAUGUUGGCUUAGAAGCAGCCAUCAUUUAAAGAAAGCGUAAUAGCUCACUGGUCGAGUCGGCCUGCGCGGAAGAUGUAACGGGGCUAAACCAUG
This 887-nucleotide ribosomal RNA is filed under the name Escherichia coli. RNAcentral describes it as "partial 23S ribosomal RNA". It matches the Rfam family "Bacterial large subunit ribosomal RNA", at positions 296 to 1191 of the family's 2925-position model. Lineage: Bacteria; Pseudomonadati; Pseudomonadota; Gammaproteobacteria; Enterobacterales; Enterobacteriaceae. The record is from RNAcentral.